ACACUCCUGCGGGAGGCAGCAGUGGGGAAUAUUGGACAAUGGGCGCAAGCCUGAUCCAGCCAUGCCGCGUGAGUGAUGAAGGCCCUAGGGUUGUAAAGCUCUUUCACCGGUGAAGGUAAUGACGGUAACCGGAGAAGAAGCCCCGGCUAACUUCGUGCCAGCAGCCGCGGUAAUACGAAGGGGGCUAGCGUUGUUCGGAUUUACUGGGCGUAAAGCGCACGUAGGCGGACUAUUAAGUCAGGGGUGAAAUCCCGGGGCUCAACCCCGGAACUGCCUUUGAUACUGGUAGUCUUGAGUUCGAGAGAGGUGAGUGGAAUUCCGAGUGUAGAGGUGAAAUUCGUAGAUAUUCGGAGGAACACCAGUGGCGAAGGCGGCUCACUGGCUCGAUACUGACGCUGAGGUGCGAAAGCGUGGGGAGCAAACAGGAUUAGAAACCCUAGUAGUCCCAUG
RNAcentral lists this ribosomal RNA (450 nucleotides) under uncultured organism. Its description in RNAcentral is "partial 16S ribosomal RNA". It matches the Rfam family "Bacterial small subunit ribosomal RNA", at positions 333 to 799 of the family's 1533-position model. The record is from RNAcentral.